This 458-nucleotide ribosomal RNA is filed under the name uncultured bacterium. Its description in RNAcentral is "partial 16S ribosomal RNA". It matches the Rfam family "Bacterial small subunit ribosomal RNA", at positions 338 to 795 of the family's 1533-position model. The record is from RNAcentral.
CCUACGGGAGGCAGCAGUGAGGAAUAUUGGUCAAUGGGCGAGAGCCUGAACCAGCCAAGUCGCGUGAGGGAGUACUGCCCUAUGGGUUGUAAACCUCUUUUGUCGGGGAGCAAAAGCCGGACGUGUCCGGCUGUGAGAGUAACCGAAGAAAAAGUAUCGGAUAACUCCGUGCCAGCAGCCGCGGUAAUACGGGGGACGCGAGCUUUAUCCGGAUUUAGUGGGUGUAAAGGGUGCGCAGGCGGAUUUUUAAGUCAGGGGUCAAAUCGUGGGGCUAAACCCCAUCCAGCAGUUGAAACUGGGGAUCUAGAGUGUGCGAGUGGUAUGCGGAAUGCGUGGUGUAGCGGUGAAAUGCAUAGAUAGCACGCAGAACCCCGAUUGCGAAGGCGGCAUACCGGUGAACAACUGACGCGCAGGCACGAAAGCGUGGGUAUCGAACAGGAUUAGAUACCCCAGUAGUC